AUGACUGGGGUGGCGCUGGCUGGCUUAAAGUUGGCAACAUCGCCGAUCCUGAAGAGGCUCCUCGCAGAUGCCUCAACAUUCCUUGGGGUGGACAUGGCAAGUGAGCUCCAUGAACUGGAGAGCACAAUUAUGCCGCAGUUCGAGCUGAUGGUUGAAGCAGCUAACAAAGGCAACCACAGGGUCAAGUUGGACAAAUGGAUCCAAGAGCUCAAAGAAGCCUUCUACAAGGCUGAGGAUCUGCUGGACAUGCAUGAGUAUGACCUCCUUGAGCGCAAAGCAAAGACUGGGAGAGAUUCCUCGCCACUGUGUGCCUCAUCCAUCAGCACUAUUUUGAAGCCUCUGCGUGCUGCAUCUAACAGGUUAUCCAAUGUUCGCCCAAGGAACAAGAAGCUACUUUGCCAGCUGAAUGAACUGAAGGCCAUUCUAGCGAAAGGGAAGGGGUUCUCUGAGCUUCUUUGUUUACCAGGUGGUAACACUGCAGAGAGGCCCAUUAUUCCUCAGGCCACAUCAUUACCACCUCUGAAAGUAAUAGGUCGUGACAAGGAUCGCGAUGAUAUAAUAAACCUUCUUACCGAGCCAGUUGCUGUUGAAGCUAAUUCAGCUGUAUAUGCGGGUUUGGCCAUUGUCGGAGCAGGAGGUAUGGGAAAAUCCACCUUGGCACAACAUGUUUACAAUGACAAGAGGGUACAAGAACAUUUUGAUGUCAGGAUGUGGGUGUGCAUCUCACGCAAACUUGAUGUCCAUCGUCAUACACGGGAGAUAAUCGAAUCCGCAGCUAAGAGGGAGUGCCCACGUCUUGAUAAUCUGGAUACUCUCCACUGCCAAUUAAGGGACAUACUGCAGAAGUCAGAGAAAUUCUUGCUUGUAUUGGAUGAUGUUUGGUUUGAUGAUUCGAGUAAUCAGAUGGAAUGGGACCAACUGUUAGCUCCCCUAGUUUCUCAGCACAAGGGAAGCAAAGUUUUGGUAACUUCUCGACGGGAUACAUUUCCUUCCGCUCUUUACUGUGAAAAGGUGCUCCGUUUGGAAAGCAUGGAAGAUACUCAGUUCUUGGCACUCUUCAAAUACUAUGCCUUCACUGGAGCACAAAUUAGAGACCCUCCGUUGCUUGAAGGGCUAGAGGUGAUUGCAGAGGAGAUAGCUAAAAGGCUUGGACAGUCUCCUUUGGCUGCAAAAGUUGUUGGUUCCCAGUUGAAAGGGAAAAUGAAUAUCUCUGCCUGGAAAGAUGCUCUGACUUUAAAGAUUGACAACUUAAGUGAGCCUAGAAUGGCUCUGUUGUGGAGUUAUCAGAAGUUAGAUCCACGUCUACAGAGGUGCUUUCUAUAUUGUAGUUUGUUUCCAAAAGGGCACAGGUAUAACACUUAUGAGUUGGUUCACCUGCUGAUAGCGGAGGGGCUUGUUGAUCCGUGCAACCAGAACAGGAAAAUGGUAGAUGUUGGAAAGGAUUACCUCAAUGAGAUGGUUUCUGGGUCUUUCUUGCAACCAUUUUCUGAAAGAUUUAUGGACACAUACUACAUUAUGCAUGAUCUUCUUCAUGAUUUGGCAGAGUCGCUCUCUAAAGAAGACUGUUUCAGAUUAGAAGAUGAUAAGGUGACAGAAAUACCAUGCACCGUCCGUCGUCUGUCUGUUCGUGUUGAGAGUAUGAAACAACAUCAGCGCAGUAUCUGCAAGCUACAUCAUUUGCGCACUGUUAUCUGCAUUGACCCACUUACAGAUGAUGUGAGCGAUGUUUUCAGUCAGUUAGUCUUGGAUGAAGGUAAUUGGAGACCUCUUUGUCAAGACUGA
RNAcentral lists this ribosomal RNA (1782 nucleotides) under Triticum aestivum (bread wheat). RNAcentral's name for it is "partial small subunit ribosomal RNA". The record is from RNAcentral. Lineage: Eukaryota; Viridiplantae; Streptophyta; Magnoliopsida; Poales; Poaceae.